GACGAACGCUGGCGGCGUGCCUAACACAUGCAAGUCAACUUGACUGAAGGAGCAAUCUGACAGUAGAGUGGCGCAAGGGUGCGUAACGCGUAAGUAACUUGCCCCAAGGUAAGGAAUAACGUCGAGAAAUCGGCGCUAAUACCUCAUAAUGCAGCGGAUCCGCAUGGAUAUGUUGUUAAAGGUUUACCGCCUUGGGAUAGGCUUGCGUCCGAUUAGCUAGUUGGUGUGGUAACGGCACACCAAGGCUACGAUCAGUAACUGGUCUGAGAGGAUGAUCAGUCACACUGGAACUGAGACACGGUCCAGACUCCUACGGGAGGCAGCAGUGAGGAAUAUUGGGCAAUGCUCGAAAGAGUGACCCAGCAACGCCGCGUGGAGGAUGAAAUACUUUGUAUGUAAACUUCUGUAAGAUGGGAAAAAUAUUACUCCUCGGAGAAUUGAUUGUACCAUCAGAGUAAGCCCCGGCUAACUACGUGCCAGCAGCCGCGGUAA
RNAcentral lists this ribosomal RNA (492 nucleotides) under uncultured bacterium. Its description in RNAcentral is "bacterial SSU rRNA". It matches the Rfam family "Bacterial small subunit ribosomal RNA", at positions 28 to 523 of the family's 1533-position model. The record is from RNAcentral.